Molecule: ribosomal RNA, 705 nt
Filed under: Legionella pneumophila
Lineage: Bacteria; Pseudomonadati; Pseudomonadota; Gammaproteobacteria; Legionellales; Legionellaceae
Description: partial 23S ribosomal RNA
Rfam family: Bacterial large subunit ribosomal RNA
Source: RNAcentral
UUAUAUGGUCAAGAAGAGAAGCGCAAACGGUGGAUGCCUUGGCAGUAAGAGGCGAAGAAGGACGUGGAAUCCUGCGAAAAGCUAUGGGGAGCUGGAAACGAGCGUUGAGCCAUAGAUGUCCGAAUGGGGGAACCCGGCUGCAGCGAUGCGGUCAUUUGCAUUUGAAUACAUAGGAUGCAAAGGCGAACUCGGGGAACUGAAACAUCUAAGUACCCGAAGGAAAAGAAAUCAAGAGAGAUUCUCCAAGUAGCGGCGAGCGAACGGGGAGGAGCCUGGCGUGAUUUAUUAUUGAACUGAGUAGAACAAUUUGGGAAAGUUGGCGAUAGAGGGUGAAAGCCCCGUAUACGAAGGUUUGAUGAGGAACUAGGCACGCGAACAAGUAGGCCGGGACACGUGAAAUCCUGGUUGAAGAUGGGUGGACCAUCAUCCAAGGCUAAAUACUACUUACUGACCGAUAGUGAACCAGUACCGUGAGGGAAAGGUGAAAAGAACCCCGGAGAGGGGAGUGAAAUAGAAUCUGAAACCGUUUGCGUACAAGCAGUGGGAGCAUGGUUUAGGCUGUGUGACUGCGUACCUUUUGUAUAAUGGGUCAGCGAGUUACUUUCAGUGGCGAGGUUAACUGAAUAAGGGAGCCGUAGAGAAAUCGAGUCUGAAUAGGGCGAUAGUCGCUGGGAGUAGACCCGAAACCGGGCGAUCUAGCCAUGU